UUCAUCCUAUGUAAUACAAUUGAAUCAAUCUAUAGAAUACCAAACAUUCCAAAAUUGUGUUCAAUCAUUCCACAAGAUUCAAAUAAUGGUACAACACAGGCACCAUUUUGCCUGCGCGUCACAAUGCCGUCUCGAUUCCCAUGCUCAUUAUUGUACUGUAACCUAUUUCCCAUCUUCACCACCCUUUCCCCGACGCUUCCCUUUGCCCUCAAAAUUACUGUUGCCAAUUCUUAUUUCCCAUCUUCUUUGAGUACUUUUUUGUGACGAUCCCACCUCCCCCUUGAGCGUACCUCAGGAUUUAGUAGACCGCCUGCCCAACUCUCGCCAGGAUUCACUCACUCAUUCCAACUCAAAUAGGGUACAACCUCAAUAAUAAAGGAAAUAACAGUUACCGACUUAGGAAAGUACAAUUACAUUCAUUUCUGUCUCAAACAUCUAUACAACCCCAAAUACAUCAAAAGAUUGGAGUUCUAAAUACAUUCAACCCUAAUCGAGCGACUAGUACGAGUACAAUUACAAAAUUUAAAAAACUAGACUACGCUAGUCUGUACAAGUCUCACGCCUCGCCCGUACCCCCUGUAAGGAAAACAAAUGACGUGGAAUGAGCUAAAAGUCUAGUGAGGUUCCAAAUAGCAAGUCGAUCAUUAUUUAGAAGUGAAAGUAUCAGAAUAGGAAAAUAGCGAGCAUGACAAGUCCAUAAAAGUGAGUAAUAACACUUCAAUUAGCCAAUCUCAAAGUGAGCGAGUGUAAAGUGUUUUUUUCUCAAAAGAAACAAUAAUCCAAUAAGCAAUAAUCAUUUCAAAGUAUAAAGAUACGGAUGACUCUCAGGAACCAAGUUCUCAUUGCUUCACCAGAGUUUAAUCAAAUAGUAGUUGACAUUCCGUCAACUUUCAAGAAAGUAACCAAUCCAAUAGAGCACCAUUUAGCUACAAUCUCCAUCCACCAUCAAAACCCCCUACUGGACCCAAAAUUCUCGAUAAACACUGGUGAUAAUACUCGAGCAUGCCGAUUAGUCGAUGAGAUAACACUUCACUCGACAACACUAGAUACCCAUGGUUCAUUAUCUAAUCGACCAAACCCUUGCCGGCUCGACUCGAUUAACUAGCCAGUGGGGUUUGGGGUCCCCAAGAGGUUGAUGAGAUAACAUCUCCAAUCGACUGAAUCAAGAUUAAAGUACGGAGACGAGAAUAAGAGGCACCUCCCACUCAGAUUGAGUGUGGUACAUAUUGCCGUUCAGCACUUACAAGUUAAGUACAAGUAUUUCAAAUCAAUUGCAAUAAUAAACAAGUACAUACCACAUUAGGGCAAGUGCGAUAAAGUACACCCUUGCCCGACCAUACCAAUCAAUUAUCAUUCGAUCACAUUAGUCAAGUAUUGAAAACAAAUGUCAGUUCAAUCAGGUAUUUGGAAGCACUCACCAAAGAUUUAGUGCUUCUACAGAUCACGUUCAGGCAUUACUCCUUGUUGGGAGUCUAAAUCUGCGAUAAAACAUCGUUUAAGAGCUUUAAAAUCACGAAGGUUCGAAACUUAAACGUUUCGUUUAACGAGAAUCAAGUGAUUGAAACUCAUUUGGAGAAUAUUCGUAAAACUCAUGCUCACUCUUAAAACUUUGAAACAAUUAAACUUUGAAAUCACCAUUUGAGUCGAAGAGACGAGGAAAACGUAUUUCUAUUAGUUGUUACUUUCAUUUUUCUAAGGGUACAAGUUUUGGCCGAAUUCUAGAAUACAUACCUCCAUGAAAGAGGACUUGAAUAACCUAGACAAUUCAAACUCAAUUCAACCCCAACUCUUCGCUCAAACUACAAGUGCACACGUCUAGUUCUCGAAUGAAAAUUUGGGCAGCACGCCCUUUGUAUUUACCUAUUUUUCAGUCAUUUAUGAUUUCAUUAUUUUUCUCAGAUCAACCCCAAAGUCACACACAAGCAAUGUUACCAUCAUAGCUCUUCAAUUAGGCUCCAAAAUCAUCCAAUUAUAACACAAGUCUAAUAAUACAACCGGAAAUCAGUUUUGAAGACAAAAGACUAAACAGCAGAUUUGACAUGUUAUAAGAUUUUAGUCACAACUGGAGCUACGUUUAUCAGAUUGGGGUAACUUUAUACCAUUUCGAAGUUAAGACAAAGUGUUACAACUUUCAUGAAGACAAGUCAACCCAGUUCACAUUUGAUCCAGGUCGAAUUUGCAGAUUACAGGACCAGAAUUUCAAUGUCAGUCUGGUUGUCAGCACUGGAUUUGAAUGACAAUAACUCAAACUACAAAAUUCCGAUUAAGGCGUUUUUAGAUGCAUUGGAAAGCUGAAACAUAGGGCUAAAAUUUUCAUGUUUUCAUCAAAUGCUGAUUUGAUACGGAUCUAAGUGAAAAAAAAAGCCAAAAAUGUGAAAUCUCAAAACUGUCCGCAAAACAGUACAUUUGGCAAUCAAGGGUAUUUUUAUCAUAUCACAUGAUACAGUACUCCGAUUGAGUUGAAAUUUUACAGGAAGCUAUAUAACACCAUUUUCUACAAUUUUUAUGUUUUGAUCGAAGCCUGAUUCCACCUCUAACAUGGACGAAUUAAUAAGGUCAGAAGCAAGACAGUGUCAAUCUUAAAGCUGGAAAUUUAAUGAAUUCAAGGUUUAAAAUUCUCAUUCAUGUCUUGAACUACUAUCCCAACUCCCUAUCCAAGCUUAUAAACAUCAUAUGCUAUAUAAACAACAAAAAAUACAACUGAACAACUUAAACCCUAGCUCAAAAAUCCAUCACAUCCAUCAAAACUACUUAAAUAACCAUCCUUAGCGAAGAGUAUGAGUUGCUAGCCAAACUUAAACAAGAUUAAGGGAGAGAAAUAGAAAAGACAGCCAUAAUACCUCACCAAGGAUGCUUGCAAGAGAAAAUCACAACCUUUCCUUCCAAAACUUUACCACACAAAGCUUUCCAACCACCAAAAGAGAAGUUUAAUCAGUUUAGUUCGGUUGAUUUCACUCAAACAAGGCAA
Molecule: long non-coding RNA, 2968 nt
Filed under: Coffea arabica (coffee)
Lineage: Eukaryota; Viridiplantae; Streptophyta; Magnoliopsida; Gentianales; Rubiaceae
Description: long non-coding RNA (CARA_LNC001366)
Source: RNAcentral